This 454-nucleotide ribosomal RNA is filed under the name uncultured bacterium. RNAcentral's name for it is "bacterial SSU rRNA". It matches the Rfam family "Bacterial small subunit ribosomal RNA", at positions 8 to 507 of the family's 1533-position model. The record is from RNAcentral.
AGAGUUUGAUCAUGGCUCAGAGCGAACGCUGGCGGCAGGCCUAACACAUGCAAGUCGAACGGACCCUUCGGGGGUUAGUGGCGGACGGGUGAGUAACACGUGGGAACGUGCCUUUAGGUUCGGAAUAGCUCCUGGAAACGGGUGGUAAUGCCGAAUGUGCCCUUCGGGGGAAAGAUUUAUCGCCUUUAGAGCGGCCCGCGUCUGAUUAGCUAGUUGGUGGGGUAAUGGCCCACCAAGGCUACGAUCAGUAGCUGGUCUGAGAGGAUGACCAGCCACAUUGGGACUGAGACACGGCCCAAACUCCUACGGGAGGCAGCAGUGGGGAAUCUUGCGCAAUGGGCGAAAGCCUGACGCAGCCAUGCCGCGUGUAUGAUGAAGGUCUUAGGAUUGUAAAAUACUUUCACCGGUGAAGAUAAUGACUGUAGCCGGAGAAGAAGCCCCGGCUAACUUCGUG